Nicotiana attenuata is the source of this 471-nucleotide long non-coding RNA. RefSeq lists it as uncharacterized. Lineage: Eukaryota; Viridiplantae; Streptophyta; Magnoliopsida; Solanales; Solanaceae. The transcript is spliced from 2 exons. The record is from RefSeq and is a predicted model, not a curated record.
GGGGAGGGUUGAGUGCAAACGAGUUCCAUCGCUGGGAUAUUACCGGAAGCAACACUAUAAGGGAAAAAGAUUUAAGCUUCUGGCAGUAAAAGUCAUAAGCAAAGGGAGGAGAAUUGAACAUAUAUAACAACUUUCAGUAGCAGUAUUCUUCAACAGAAAGAGAGACAGCAGUUGACGCGGGCGAGGAUUUCGUUAAUUAAAGCGUACAAGUUGAUAGUUCUUGGGGAGCCUCGCACUUGUUCGCGUGGGCGGAGAUUUUAAUUAUUGUUAUGGCCUUUUCUUUGAACUCUUAGAGUCUCUCCAUAGUCAUAUUUUAGUGUCUUGAGUAUUUCUUCGCUAUUAUAGUCUUAUGUUGAGUAUCGCUCAUUCUUAUCAAAUUUGGAGAUAAAGUUGUAUUUCUAGUUGUUAGUGGGCGGACUAUUAAAUGUAGAUAUUUGUUUUGGUUAAUUGAUAAAGUCAUUGUCAAUUGAA